Molecule: ribosomal RNA, 497 nt
Filed under: uncultured bacterium
Lineage: Bacteria
Description: partial 16S ribosomal RNA
Rfam family: Bacterial small subunit ribosomal RNA
Source: RNAcentral
GAUGAACGCUGGCGGCGUGCCUAAUACAUGCAAGUCGAGCGAACAGACCAGGAGCUUGCUCCUCUGACGUUAGCGGCGGACGGGUGAGUAACACGUGGAUAACCUACCUAUAAGACUGGGAUAACUUCGGGAAACCGGAGCUAAUACCGGAUAAUAUAUUGAACCGCAUGGUUCAAUAGUGAAAGACGGUUUUGCUGUCACUUAUAGAUGGAUCCGCGCCGCAUUAGCUAGUUGGUUAGGUAACGGCUUACCAAGGCUACGAGGCGUAGCCGACCUGAGAGGGUGAUCGGCCACACUGGAACUGAGACACGGUCCAGACUCCGACGGUAGGCCGCAGUAGGGAAUCUUCCGCAAUGGGCGAAAGCCUGACGGAGCAACGCCGCGUGAGUGAUGAAGGUCUUCGGAUCGUAAAACUCUGUUAUUAGGGAAGAACAAAUGUGUAAGUAACUAUGCACGUCUUGACGGUACCUAAUCAGAAAGCCACGGCUAACUACGUG